UGGAGCUCACGCUGGGACCGUAAUUACUGCCGUCGCGGGAACUGGCGCUCCGCUGUGGAGCCGAGAGGGUGGCGGGGAGGGCAGGUGAAGUGGAGGGAUUACUUUCACAUCUUCCUGGUGGACUUCCAGAAAGCAUCUGAUGGACCCACAGAGCUGGUCCUACCACUGAGGAAACCGAGGGCUUCCUUCAGUAGCAGACCCUGACUGGAGGGUAUGAGGAGUGGAGCAUCCGAAUUUUGAUCAUGUGAUCCUGAGGAGGCUGCAACGGUG
This is a non-coding RNA of Notechis scutatus (mainland tiger snake), 270 nucleotides long. Lineage: Eukaryota; Metazoa; Chordata; Lepidosauria; Squamata; Elapidae. The record is from RefSeq and is a predicted model, not a curated record.